Triticum aestivum (bread wheat) is the source of this 642-nucleotide long non-coding RNA. RefSeq lists it as uncharacterized. The record is from RefSeq and is a predicted model, not a curated record. NCBI's taxonomy places the organism in Eukaryota, Viridiplantae, Streptophyta, Magnoliopsida, Poales, Poaceae. The transcript is spliced from 3 exons.
CCCUUUCACCCACAUCCUUUGCGCCAUGGCCGAGCCAAAGUUGAUUGUUUUAGCAAGGUCGAGUAGGAGCGUGAGGAGCGUGGGCACGACAACCUUGUCAUGCUCGAUGACAGCGGCGAUGAACGCUAGCGCUCCUCGUCGCCAUCGACCUGCAAGGAGUAGCGCCGUGUUGGACGUUGCCAUCCCUGACGCUGCUGGUCCGCUGCGAGUUACCUGUCACCUGCUCCCAGGUCGCCCCCUAAGUCGAGCUCCCCACGCUCGACCUGCAAGAUGUGAUGUGGCCAAGAACUGCUCUCUGCCGCGGGAGUAGAUUGGAAAGGCAAGGCGCAAGGAGAGAUUGGAAAGGCGGUUGCUGCUGCUGGACGAUGUUGCUGCUGCCGCCGCUGCCUCUCGUCGAUUCGGGCAUGAGCACAUUCUUGGAGUGGAUUUGCAUUUCAGAAAGUUUACAAGUGGGAGUACAUGAAGUACUACAGUUUAAAUAGAGGAGAAGAUGGUGCCUGCUCCAUGAUGAUGCCGCCAUCAGCUACGAAUUCCUCGAACAUGGCGAGUACUCCAAUGCUUGUAUUCCUAUCAAUGUUUACUGCUGUAAUCAUGGAGUAGUUAGCUGAUGUAAUCAUGGCCGGAGAAAUGCACCAUUAGUUG